AUGCUGCAAUACCUACCACUUGCUAUAUCAUGCCUCCCAUAUUUCCAUGUCAAGCCUCUAACCCACCUUGUCCUAACAAACCGUUGUUUGGCUAUGUUACCGCUUUGCUCAACCCCUCUUAUAACAUUGUUAGUUGCAGGUGAAGAUGGAGUUUGUUCCAUGUUGGAACAUUGUUAUAUGUUGGGAUAUCACAAUAUCUCUUAUUUAAUUAAUGCAUCUAUAUACUUGGUAAAGGGUGGAAGGCUCGGCCUUAUGCCUGGUGUUUUGUUCCACUCUUGCCGCCCUAGUUUCCGUCAUACCGGUGUUAUGUUCCUUGAUUUUGCGUUCCUUACGCGGUUGGGUUAUAAUGGGAACCCCUUGACGGUUCUCCUUGUAUAA
This 378-nucleotide ribosomal RNA is filed under the name Triticum aestivum (bread wheat). Its description in RNAcentral is "partial small subunit ribosomal RNA". The record is from RNAcentral. Lineage: Eukaryota; Viridiplantae; Streptophyta; Magnoliopsida; Poales; Poaceae.